This 1143-nucleotide ribosomal RNA is filed under the name Enterococcus durans. Its description in RNAcentral is "bacterial SSU rRNA". It matches the Rfam family "Bacterial small subunit ribosomal RNA", at positions 297 to 1434 of the family's 1533-position model. The record is from RNAcentral. Lineage: Bacteria; Bacillati; Bacillota; Bacilli; Lactobacillales; Enterococcaceae.
AGGGUGAUCGGCCACAUUGGGACUGAGACACGGCCCAAACUCCUACGGGAGGCAGCAGUAGGGAAUCUUCGGCAAUGGACGAAAGUCUGACCGAGCAACGCCGCGUGAGUGAAGAAGGUUUUCGGAUCGUAAAACUCUGUUGUUAGAGAAGAACAAGGAUGAGAGUAACUGUUCAUCCCUUGACGGUAUCUAACCAGAAAGCCACGGCUAACUACGUGCCAGCAGCCGCGGUAAUACGUAGGUGGCAAGCGUUGUCCGGAUUUAUUGGGCGUAAAGCGAGCGCAGGCGGUUUCUUAAGUCUGAUGUGAAAGCCCCCGGCUCAACCGGGGAGGGUCAUUGGAAACUGGGAGACUUGAGUGCAGAAGAGGAGAGUGGAAUUCCAUGUGUAGCGGUGAAAUGCGUAGAUAUAUGGAGGAACACCAGUGGCGAAGGCGGCUCUCUGGUCUGUAACUGACGCUGAGGCUCGAAAGCGUGGGGAGCAAACAGGAUUAGAUACCCUGGUAGUCCACGCCGUAAACGAUGAGUGCUAAGUGUUGGAGGGUUUCCGCCCUUCAGUGCUGCAGCUAACGCAUUAAGCACUCCGCCUGGGGAGUACGACCGCAAGGUUGAAACUCAAAGGAAUUGACGGGGGCCCGCACAAGCGGUGGAGCAUGUGGUUUAAUUCGAAGCAACGCGAAGAACCUUACCAGGUCUUGACAUCCUUUGACCACUCUAGAGAUAGAGCUUCCCCUUCGGGGGCAAAGUGACAGGUGGUGCAUGGUUGUCGUCAGCUCGUGUCGUGAGAUGUUGGGUUAAGUCCCGCAACGAGCGCAACCCUUAUUGUUAGUUGCCAUCAUUUAGUUGGGCACUCUAGCAAGACUGCCGGUGACAAACCGGAGGAAGGUGGGGAUGACGUCAAAUCAUCAUGCCCCUUAUGACCUGGGCUACACACGUGCUACAAUGGGAAGUACAACGAGUCGCGAAGUCGCGAGGCUAAGCUAAUCUCUUAAAGCUUCUCUCAGUUCGGAUUGUAGGCUGCAACUCGCCUACAUGAAGCCGGAAUCGCUAGUAAUCGCGGAUCAGCACGCCGCGGUGAAUACGUUCCCGGGCCUUGUACACACCGCCCGUCACACCACGAGAGUUUUAACACCCGAAGUCGGUGAG